Molecule: ribosomal RNA, 252 nt
Filed under: uncultured bacterium
Lineage: Bacteria
Description: partial 16S ribosomal RNA
Rfam family: Bacterial small subunit ribosomal RNA
Source: RNAcentral
UACGGGGGGUGCGAGCGUUAAUCGGAAUUACUGGGCGUAAAGCGCACGUAGACGGUUUGGUAAGUCAGAUGUGAAAUCCCCGGGCUCAACCUGGGAACUGCAUUUGAUACUGCCUGGCUAGAGUAUCGAAGAGGGAAGUGGAAUUUCCGGUGUAGCGGUGAAAUGCGUAGAUAUCGGAAGGAACACCAGUGGCGAAAGCGACUUCCUGGUCGAAUACUGACGUUCAUGUGCGAAAGCGUGGGGAGCAAACAG